Molecule: transfer RNA, 66 nt
Filed under: Turricula nelliae spuria
Lineage: Eukaryota; Metazoa; Mollusca; Gastropoda; Neogastropoda; Clavatulidae
Description: Turricula nelliae spurius tRNA-Thr
Rfam family: tRNA
About the family: Transfer RNA (tRNA) molecules are approximately 80 nucleotides in length.
Source: RNAcentral
GUAAUAAUAGCUUAAAAUAAAGCAUUGGUCUUGUAAAUCAAAGAUGAAAUUAGAUUUCUUAUUACU